GGAGGGAUGGCAGAGCGGACGAUUGCGGCGGUCUUGAAAACCGUUGUGGAUUUAUACACCGGGGGUUCGAAUCCCUCUCCCUCCG
This 85-nucleotide transfer RNA is filed under the name Chloroflexota bacterium. RNAcentral describes it as "tRNA-Ser". It matches the Rfam family "tRNA". Rfam says of the family: Transfer RNA (tRNA) molecules are approximately 80 nucleotides in length. Lineage: Bacteria; Bacillati; Chloroflexota. The record is from RNAcentral.